AUACCAGCUCUCCGAGUGGUGUGGAUGUUUAUUGGGCCUAAAGCAUCCGUAGCUGGCUAAGUUAGUCCUUUGUUAAAUCCACCGAAUUGAUCGUUGGAUUGCGGGGGAUACUGCUUGGCUAGGGGACGAGAGAGGCAGACGGUAUUUCCGGGGUAGGGGUGAAAUCCUAUAAUCCCGGGAAGACCACCAGAGGCGAAGGCUGUCUGCUAGAACGCGCCCGACGGUGAGGGAUGAAAGCUGGGGGAGCGAACCGGGUUAGAUACCCGGGUAGUCCCAGCUGUAAACGAUGCAGGCUAGGUGUUUGGACGGCCACGUGCCGUUCUAGUGCCGCAGGGAAGCUGUUAAGCCUGCCGCCUGGGGAGUACGAUCGCAAGAUUGAAACUUAAAGGAAUUGGCGGGG
This 400-nucleotide ribosomal RNA is filed under the name uncultured bacterium. RNAcentral describes it as "partial 16S ribosomal RNA". It matches the Rfam family "Archaeal small subunit ribosomal RNA", at positions 473 to 873 of the family's 1478-position model. The record is from RNAcentral.